GUGAACCGCUUAGAAGCAAACAGGUGGAGCUGACAUUAAUCCUGCUGAAUUCAGCUUUUCCGAAAGUGGACUGCGUUUGUUUAAUCGCAAGAUAAGCAUUGCGUAUGUUCCAUUGAGGAAGAGUGCACUUUCAGUAGGCUUGCGUCACGACCAAUGAUACCGCUGGCGAAGGCCAACUGAUUGCCGACUGUGAGUUUACGCUUGCAGAGCCCCAUCAGUUGAGUCAGUCCGGGUCGAUGUCAUUGGGAACCAAACGCACUCGCUUGUCGCAAACUGCCGGGCAUGGGGUCGCUUGAAAUUCUGUAUUGUGCUUGCACAAUGCGGUAACCCUCGAAUCUAAUGCUCGGUUUUCUUGCGUUUGUGCUUAUGGUCUGUGGCGUCCGCGUCAGCCUCCCACCUGACCCGUCUUGAAACACGGACCAAGGAGUCUAACGUGCACGCAAGUCAUUGGGCUGUAAACCCACAGGCGUAAUGAAAGUAAAGGUCAAUUCAGUUGACCGAGGUGAGAUCCCUUUACUGGGCGCACCACUGUCCCAUCGCAUCUGCUUGUCAGAGCGGUGGAGAAAAAGCGUGCGCGUUGGGACCCGAAAGAUGGUGAACUAUGCCUGAGCAGGAUAAAGUCAUCGGAAACGGUGAUGGAGGUCCGUAGCGGUUCUGACGUGCAAAUCGAUCGUCAGA
RNAcentral lists this ribosomal RNA (678 nucleotides) under Tripyla sp. LSU_10. Its description in RNAcentral is "LSU rRNA". It matches the Rfam family "Eukaryotic large subunit ribosomal RNA", at positions 399 to 909 of the family's 3401-position model. Lineage: Eukaryota; Metazoa; Nematoda; Enoplea; Triplonchida; Tripylidae. The record is from RNAcentral.